This is a non-coding RNA of Podarcis lilfordi (Lilford's wall lizard), 33997 nucleotides long. The record is from the annotation of a GenBank genome assembly. Lineage: Eukaryota; Metazoa; Chordata; Lepidosauria; Squamata; Lacertidae.
CUUCAGCAUGUUUGGGAUAUAAACAUCUCAGUGCGCAAGCAGUUCAAGGACAAGAUACCAUAGACCAGGAUGCAUCAUGACAUGGCAUGACUUGCCAGAUCUGCUGAGACCUCAGCGCUUGCUGCACCUAAAUGCCAUCUUCCACUGUCAUUCCUACUCAAGCUGCCCCUCUCUUACUGGUGAAGAAUAUUCAGGCUGCCUUGGGCAGCAACAGAGCUCCAACAGAAAACUCAUGGCUCUCCUGGGAGGAAAUGGAGAAGGUUGACCUAAGCCGCGUCGUCAAUGUUCUAACAGUUUUCUGGUAAGUGUCCAUGAUAAACUGCUGUCCCUGUUGAUUGAUGGACGCAUUGCCUUUUUGGGGAUGCCUCGUUGAAAUGUUGUUACUCUGUUUUAUCUGGUGUUGCUGUUCUCUAGAAGUUCCGCUCUUUGUGUCAGAGAGACGGCAACGCGUCUCUCCACAGCACACGCAUAGACAGACAUGCGUGCGCAUGAGCACUAAGGCACCCUGCCGUGCGCAGUCUGUCACUUCACACGCUGCAGCUGCUGAGGUAUAUUUUGAAUUGUCGACAACAGAUUGAGGGACAAUUAUGGGUUUUUUUCCUAGUGUAUUUUUACCAGACGAACAACCAGCCUUUUGGCAUUUUGAUCAGUGAAGGAUAGGCUAUUGCAGAGUAAAUGAACAGAGCAUCUGCUGUGUUCAUCAACUCUCUUCAGGUAUUGUGCCUGGACAGGGAAUGGCAGCAGGAGAACCACCCCCGGCCCCGCCCCACCACUCCUGGGUCUGAAGGAAGCUAUGAAGCAGGUGCGGCUGGAUUUGCCUAGUAGCCUCUUGGAAACUGGGAGCCCUAAGAAUGCUGGGAAAGGCAACGUCCCAUCCCUCCUUGAUCCCUCCUUGACCUUCUUGCAUCGUGCAAGAAGAUCUGAAGGGGGUUUCUAAGGGUGCUUUGUUGAAUGCGCUUAGAAGCUUCCCUGGAGUCAGGAUUCCCCAUUGCAAGGAAGCAUCUGAAGCCUGUUCAAACAAACAAGCAUGUAGCAAACUCCCAUAGCUGUCAACCGUCCCUUAUUUGGUGGGAAACUCCCUUAUCCCAGUGCCGUGUCCUGCUGCUGUCCUUUAUUGAUGAUGCCCCUUAAAUUUCCCGGGUUUCAUGCUCGCCCAGCUCGGGAGGGAAGCAGCGGCUUGGAGUCCUCCGCCACUUGAGAGUGCGUUCGCUCACGAGCUGCCGCGUCUCCGUCUCUCCGUCUCUCCCUAGUUGCUUCCAAAAAUAGGAAGGUAGACUCAAUGUGGACUAGCAGUUUGGAAAUGUUGGUACUUGCUCUGUAAUGCCUGGAUGUCAGGGACUGGCUGGAUGAAGAGUGGUGGAAGUCGACAGACCCCAGGGAAACCCCAGGGAAACUGGCCACACCCCAGAGGAGAGGACAAGGUGGGAAGUACUGGAUUGCUGGUGAAGGAUGGUGAAGAGAAGGAGGAAACAGACAGGUGCUCCAGCACAGAACAGAGACUGGAAUUGUAUAAGCAUAGUGCCAGGAUCUUUCCAGGUGCCUCUGAAUUCACUGUACAAUAGUGAACAUGAAUAACAGCAGGAGAGUUUGACAUCCUUGGGAUCUCUGCUGUCAGUUUUGAUCUUGCUAAGUCUGAUUGCCAAAGAAUUGAUGCUUUUGAAUUCUGGUGCUGGAGGAGACUCUUGAGAAUCCCAUAGACUGCAAGAAGAUCAAACCUAUCCAUUCUUAAGGAAAGCAGCCCUGAGUGCUCACUGGAAGGACCUGAAGCUGAGGCUCCAAUACUUUGGCCAACUCAUGAGAAGAGAAGAUUCCCUGGAAAAGACCCUGAUGUUGGGAAAGAUGGAGGGCACAAGGAGAAGGGGACGACAGAGGACAAGAUGGUUGGACAGUGUUCUUGAAGCUUUGACCAAACUGUGGGAGGCAGUGGAAGACAGGAGUGUCUGGCGUGCUCUGGUCCAUGGGGUCACGAAGAGUCGGACACGACUAAACGACUAAACGACAACAAAAGUCAACCACUCUGAAUUCACAGAGAUGCUGCUUUUUCCCCAACUGGGCCAUUGCCAACUCCCAAGCUCUGUGUUUUCUAACACUGGGGAAGGGAGAAUCCAGUAUGAUUCUGCUAGGACUGAGAGGGCCGACAUUUCCCCUUGCCAUGGUGCUGCAAGAACAUGGCGCCUCCCUUCUCCCGGAACAGAGGUGUGCAUUGAGCGCAGGCAAAUGAAAAAAGAGGCCUUGCGAGCCGUAGAAAUGGACCUGCGGUCAUGGAGAGAACAAAGUCUGAGUAAAGCAUUAACGUGUUCACUAACCCAAAUCACACAUGGGAAUUCUAAUGCUCCCUCCCUUGCUUACAUAAGGUGUCCUUUUUUACAGCACUUCUUAAGACCUAAUACAAAUAUUAGCCGUCAUUCCCCUAUUAAUUAUUGUUAAAGAUUUAAAGGGUCAGGGACUCUAAACCUAAUGUCUUGGUCAUUGUGGGAAAGGUAAGGAAUGGUUCACUGUGUGCGAAGUGGAACCGCACAGCUCUUUCUGGGAAACUGCAGGCUGCCAGAAUUCUGAGAUAAGACACCGUCUCUGAAUGUAUCGUAUUUUUCGCUCUAUAGGAUGCACUUUUUCCCCUCCAAAAAUUAAGGGGAAAUGUGUGUGCGUCCUAUGGAGCGAAUGCAGGCUCCUUGGCUUCAGUGAUAGCAACGCGAAGCCUCCGAAGCACAGAGGGAGCGCUCCCUCUGCGCUUCGGAGGCUUCGCGUUGCUUUCGCUGAAGCCUGGAGAGCGAAAGGGGUCAGUGCGCACCGACCCCUCUUGCUCUCCAGGCUUUAGGGAUAGCCGCCUGAAGCCUUCAGAGUGCAGCGCGAGUUCCCACUGCGCUCCACAGGCUUCAGGUUCCUUUCGUUGAAGCCAGGAGAGUCUUGCUCUCCCGGCUUAAGCAAAAGGAACUCAAAGCCUCCGGAGUGCAGCGGGAACUCACGCUGCCCUCCAAAAGGCUUCAGGGAUAGCCGGAGGCUUCGGGUUCCUUUUGCUGAAGCCGGGAGAGCAAGACUCUCCUGGCUUCAGCAGAGAGGGACAGCUGCGCAGCGCUCCUUCAGCCAAGCGGGAGGAGAAAUGGAAGGGGCUCUGUUUCUCCUGCCGCUUCGCUGAAGGGGCGCUGAGCAGAGAGGGGGAGAUUUUUUUUUCUUGUUCUCCCCCUCUAAAACAAGGUGCAUCCUAUGGUCGGGUGUUUCCAAUAGAGCGAAAAAUACAGUAAUUCCUCCAGCUUUUGGAGCUAGAGGGGAGGGUGCUUACAGGAACAAAGGAGGUAGGGUCCAUUCCUCUCAGUGGGGAUACUCUGAGUAGAACUUCGUUGGAAAGAACGGUACCCAUCUGUCUAACCUAGUAGGGCUGUCAUACAUUCUUAGCUCAACACUUUUGGUGGUUUCCAAAGCUCCACAACGUUCAGAGUGUCCUGGUUUUUUUACCUUUUGAAACAUGUCAACCCUAAACCUAGUGGCCGAUUUGCAUUUCAGAAAUCAACAUUUAUUUGUGGUAUUCAAGUGACUGUUAUUUCUGGAGGAGGAACAAGUUCCUGUUGCAGAUCACAACUUGCCCUUGCUAGCCACAAGAGAGGCACCGUCACUUUGCUCAGGCUUCCACAAGGCAGGGGAAAUAUACAGAUCUCUUUUCUUGAAUAAAGCUGGGGAGCAGCAGAACGGUUUGAAAAUAAGCUUCUUCUUUUUCGACUGAGUGGGGUGGGAAUGUGCAUUUGAAGGGGAGCAGAUAAGCAGCUUGACAUGCUGGGUGGAGAAAUAAAAGUUGGCACUGGUCAAGUGGCGCAAGCAGCAUGGAAUUGUCACCAGUUUGACAUUAAUUAGACACCUAUUGGAGGGCUGCGUCUGCUUUCAAGGCCGUCUGUGUCCAAGGCUGUGUGGCUUACCUGAGUUCCCACAAUUUUUGUUGUUGCUGUUGUUAAAAACGGAACGAUGACCUGGAAUCAUACCAGGCUGAGGUAACAUAUAAUUAGUAUAGGGAUUUUGAGACAACAAGCACCAUGUCGCUUCUAGGGCAAAGGUAGAAAGUGAACUCGAGUAGAAAUACAAAUUGAGAAUAGCUACGUCAACAAAGUGAAAAUCAUUUAUUCAAAGGAGGUGUUCUCUGACUGGACAAUUUUCAAAGGGUUUUUGCGUCUGAGAGGGUCUCCUUCCCUCCCUCCCUUAGAUAUGCAGCAAUGUCGUGCUGCUGUGAAAAAGCAAAAUAAUUAAAAUUGUUUUAUUUAUUAUACCUAUACCUGCUGGUCUCAUAGAGGGCUUGUCAACAUCAUCGUCAGUAACAAAGAGUAUUUCAUUGGGUGGGGAGAGGGUAACUGUUUCAAUGGAACUUCGUAUUUUGAACCCGUGAGUAAAGAAUUAAUUGCACGCAUUAAUGAAUAAGGAUAGCUAGCUUCAAUCAGUUAAUCACCGAUGCAAUUAGUUUAAUAGAAUAGUUUGAUAUUCGGCCUGAUUAGUUGGUGAGUUGCUGAAGACAAAUAACAAAACUUUUGUGUGAGGGGGUGGGGAGUGAUUUUCAGUGAAGUUUCAAUGAGUGUUAUUUCAUUUAUUGGUGCUAUGUCUUUAAUCUGUGGAUGACGCAACUCAGGCCUAGUGGUCAAAUGUGUCCUCAGGCCUCUCAUUGGUCCUUAGGACCCUUUCCUAGGUCAAGCACACCCUGCAACCGGCCAUGCUCUGCCUUGUCCUUCAUGGUUUUUGCCCGGCUGGAAUGUGUCUCUGAACUCUGAUAGUGUUUGCUGCUUGCUUGGAUAGAGGUUAGAGAGGGCUGUGUUUGCAUCUGCAGCUGCUAUACAAAGGGAGGGAAAUCGCUUUUAUUACGCUUCCCGCUUUUGCUUCGUAGCCCCAAAGGGAAUGUAGACCUUGGUCUGAACAUGGUUCCCCAACCUUUGCUUUAACUUUUAUAGUAUUUUGCUGUUGUUGUUUAGUUGUUUAGUCGUGUCCGACCCCUGGACCAGAGCACAGCAGGCACUCCUGUCUUCCACUGCCUCCCGCAGUUUGGUCAAACUCAUGCUGGUAGCUUCGAGAACACUCUCCAACCAUCUUGUCCUCUGCUGUCCCCUUCUCCUUCUGCCCUCCAUCUUUUCCAACAUCAGGGUCUUUUCCAGGGAGUCUUCUCUUCUCAUGAGGUGGCCAAAGUAUUGGAGCCUCAGCUUCAGGAUCUGUCCUUCCAGUGAGCACUCAGGGCUGAUUUCCUUCAGAAUGGAUAGGUUUGAUCUUCUUGCAGUCCAUGGGACUCUCAAGAGUCUCCUCCAGCACCAUAAUUCAAAAGCACCAAUUCUUCGGUGAUCAGCCUUCUUUAUGGUCCAGCUCUCACUUCCAUACAUCACUACUGGGAAAACCAUAGCUUUUACUAUACGGACCUUUGUUGGCAAGGUGAUGUCUCUACUUCUUAAGAUGCUGUCUAGGUUUGUCAUUGCUUUUCUCCCAAGGAGCAGGUGUCUUUUAAUUUCGUGGCUGCUGUCACCAUCUGCAGUGAUCAUGGAGCCCAGGAAAGUAAAAUCUCUCACUGCCUCCAUUUCUUUCCCUUCUAUUUGCCAGGAGGUGAUGGGACCAGUGGUCAUGAUCUUGGUUUUUUUGAUGUUGAGCUUCAGACCAUAUUUUGCGCUCUCCUCUUUCACCCAUGGAGUUUUCUUGGCAGGGAUACUGGAGUGGCUUGCCGGUUCCUCCUCCAGGUGGAUCACGUUUGGUCAAAACUCUCCACUAUGAUCUGUCCAUCUUGGGUGCCCUGCUCGGCAUAGUUCAUAGCUUCUCUGUGUUAUUCAAGCCCUUUUGCCACGGCAAGGCAGUGAUCCAUGAGGGGGUUUUAUAGUAUAGCCAUCUCCAGAUGUUACAGGACCAUGCUGGUCUAUAAUCACACAGUUCAAGUUGGAGCUAACACUUUAUUAGCAAAAAUACGACUUCCACAGACUUGGUUGAGUGUCAGGCCUAGUGAGCACAGCCGCUCAUAUCCGGUAGGUGUUGCCCCCAUGAAGCAGUUGCCAAGAGUGAAGGUCCUCUCCUCCCCACAGCUGCCUAGGUUCCCUCCACCCCAGGGUUUCCCCCAAGCAAUUGGAGACUGUGUCUGUGUGCAGCCAACAUCUCCUCGCCCUUUCCAUGCCUUUUCUGGUUCUGGGAGACGAGGGGGAGGGGAGCUUGUCACAGCAGAAGAAGAAGAAGAAGAAGAAGAGGAGUUUGGAUUUGAUAUCCCGCCUUUCACUCCCCUUCAGGAGUCUCAAAGCGGCUAACAAUCUGCUUUCCCUUCCUCCCCCACAACAAACACUCUGUGAGGUGAGUGGGGCUGAGAGACUUCAAAGAAGUGUGACUGGCCCAAGGUCACCCAGCAGCUGCAUGUGGAGGAGCGGAGACGCGAACCCGGUUCCCCAGAUUAUGAGACUACCGCUCUUAACCACUACACCACACUGGCUCUUAAGGGACAAGGAGACACCCAUGACUCUUCAGUAGCCUGGCUCAUCUCUGCCUCUUGGCCUUCUCCUGCUUCAGCUUCAGCUUCUGCCUCUGAUUCUGGGCUCCUCUCUGCCACAGACUCUCCCAGCUCACUAAGCCCUGUUGCCCCUUCAGCUUCCAACACCUCCUUCUCCUACUCUUCUCCCUCUGAUCACGUAUAGCUGUCCCACCACCACUCCCUGGGCUCUGAGCCUUCUUCUCUUGGUAGUUCCCCAGCUGGUUCCUUCCACCAUUUUUCCAUGUCCAACCAAUCCAUGACACCAGAUGGUUUAAAAAUCAGGUUCUUGAAAAGCCCUGAUCAAUGCAUCUUCAUUUAAUAAAUCCACCUUGCUAAUAUAGUAUGUUUUCAGUAUAGGGUCAAGUUUGUCUUCAGGGUUUGCCGAAAAUGUGCAUUACUUUUUUUUUUAAGGGACUUUUCAGGCACCUCAGUGCCUCAGCUAAACAUAGAGCAAUGGAUUGGCCGUGUGGUUUCUAAAAUUGCUUGAUCAGCGAGAAAUACUAGCGGAUGAACUGGGCAGUUGUUCCACAUCCUUGUUUUCAGAGACUUCUCAGAACAAAUUAAUUGAGCUCAUCAAAGGGUCGGCCCUUUCAGACUUCACAAAAGUUAGAGGAGAGAGCCGCUCUUUGUUUAGCAACAGAGUUCAAAUAGCUUGUUAUUAAAUAUAUGGCUGUGGCUGCCAGACAAUCAUAAUUCUGGGAACCCGAACUUUAAAAAUAUCAAUUGUUGCAAAACGUGGGACUGAAGCCAUGGGAGAUGGCAGGAUUCUUGGAAUCAAAAUGCAUAUCGGUAUAAUCUGCCUUGCACUAUGUGCUGAUAUGACCUGGGGAGGGAAACCUGGUGAUACGGAGGGCAUUGAGAGAUAGCAGUAGAACAAUCCAUCUGCAGGUAUUUCUGUUGGAUGUAGUUAGUCUCACAUCUCUCCCCUGUUCUUUGGCCACUUGUGGCAAUGCCAGUGUGGUGUAGUGGUUAAGAGUGGUGGACUCGUAAUCUGGUGAACCGGGUUCGCGUCUCCGCUCCUCCACAUGCAGCUGCUGGGUGACCUUGGGCUAGUCACACUUCUUUGAAGUCUCUCAGCCCCACUCACCUCACAGAGUGUUUGUUGUGAGGGAGGAAGGGAAAGGAGAAUGUUAGCCGCUUUGAGACUCCUUCGGGUAGUGAUAAAGCGGGAUAUCAAAUCCAAACUCUUCUUCUUUGCUAGAAAAACAGAAGUGAAGUGUGUGGAAUGUACCUCAGAUCAGAUGACCUGUAGAAAGACAGGUAGUGCCUCCACAGCAGUGGCCAGAGGAGUAAUGACCACUUGGAGGAGCUCAGAGAGAAGAAACACCAUGGUACAUUUGCACCAGUGAAACUGGACGCCUUCAUCUGCCCCAGCUGCAACAAAACAUGUCUCUCCCAUAUCAGUCUCUACAGCCACAGCAGCAGCCGUAACUCUCCAAUGUUUUUACUUCACCCCUGUGUGGGGAUGUUUAGGAUAAUAGGCAAGGAAAUAUUGUUAAGUAUUAUCCUUCCUUCACUCACACUAGUGAGUGAUGUAGCAGAGCAAAUCCCCUCUAUAUUCACGGAAGCUACCUUGUUUCCCCAAAAAUAAGACAGUGUCUUAUAUUACUUUUUGCUCCCAAAGAUGCGCUAGGUCUUAUUUUCAGGAAAUGUCUUAUUUUUCCAUGAAGAAGAAUAUGGUACACAUUUAUUGUCUAAUUGUGAGUCAGCCAGACUCUGUCAGGGCAGCAGGCGGCAACUUAUCCUGGUGGCGGCGCAGGCUCUCUGAUUUAAAGAGACCUCGCACCGCCUGAACAGCUCCGGCUGCGUUGCGGCCAAUCAGUGAGCUGCGCAGCGGCGCCUGCCGCUACGGUCCAGAAGAGUCAGACGCCUUACGGUAGCUUCGGGGGCCUUAUAUUCCGGGGAGGCCUUAUGUUCGGGGGAGGCCUUAUUAUCAGGGAGGUCUUAUUUUUGGGGGGUGCCUUAUAUUACAGUGAGAGGCAAAACUGAAAGUAGGUCUUAUUUUCGGGGGGAUGUCUUACUUUUGGGAAAAGAUGGUAGUUGAUUAGAUUUGUUUGAAUCUCUACAAAAUGACUAAUCCAAUCUGGCUUGCCCAGAUGGAUUAUCUCAGGUGUCUCCUUUUCUCCCUCUUAAAAUACAAUAAAGACUCACGAGUCUGUCUUUAAAAGUACAGUAUAACAAUAAGUUUACUCACAAGUUGUUCACAGUACGCAUCCUAGAAGGCAGGCUUCAGGUGACAAACGUAUAACGUGGCUUACAUCCUUUGUAAGGAUGGGCCCAAGUGCUGCUGGCUGAGAGCCAGCAGACAACAAGAUGGAUGAGACUUAACUGAGAGUUGAAUCAAACAGAACCAAAAUGUCUGUGUGACUCUGCUUUUAUAGAGCCGCACUCAUCUGCUGAAUCACUUACAGCAGGAACAGCAAGUUCCUCUCUGUCCACUCUAGGAAGUAAAGCAUGCUGUAAUUGAUUGUACUGUACUGAUGUAGCACAUCCCACACUCUGAAGGUGCACUCCUCCAUCGUCUGCCGAGACAGAUGGAUGCCAACCAGGAUGCCCUUGGCUACGUUUCCUUUAUCUUCAGUCUCCUCCCUGCUGAGUUCUACAGGGGGCAACCCCGAGACUAAGGAGAAGGUUUCCGGGCAGUGCCACCAUGCUGGACUGGUUGGAAGGAAGGAAGUGGAAGGCGGGUGAGAGCUAGCCGAGGGCAGACUGAAGUUGGAGGUGCAAUUCUCCAUUUUCCCAAAAGAGAAGCUUCCACUGGGUCCAAGAAACUACAGCACUUAAAGUAGAACUUCAACCCAAGGAUAAUGUCAAGGGACAGUGAUUUCAGCUCCCUGUGGGAGAUACACAUGGCUUUGUGCAAUGUACGCAAUGACCCUGUGUGGGGUGUGUGUGAGGACAAUUAUUCAACUCCACGAAAAGUAAUGGUUAAGUGCAGAGCUAGCAAACAAAAACAUUAAACAUUACAAGGAAGGGUGGCCCCAAGACAGACUCCUAUACAGUGUUGCCUCGGGUUAAGUACUUAAUUCAUUCCAGAGGUCUGUUCUUAACCUGAAACUGUUCUUAACCUGAAGCACCACUUUAGCUAAUGGGGCCUCCUGUUGGUGCCACGCCGCUGGAACACGAUUUCUGUUCUCAUCCUGAAGCAAAGUUCUUAACCUGAAGCACUAUUUCUGGGUUAGCGGAGUCUGUAACCUGAAGCGUAUGUAACCUGAAGUGUAUGUAACUUGAGGUACCACUGUAUUGUUCUUCUGAAUCUCCCCAACUUGGGUAGGGUUCUGAACUGAUGCAAAAGGGCAGUGACUUGAUGCAUGACCUGGUGUGGUGUCCCAUCCUUUGAACCCCUGGCUCUUUCAAUAUGGUGCUGGAGGAAGAGACACAAACAUUUCUAUGCAAUGCAGAAUGGAGGAGGGGAACAGAGGAAGGAAAUGGGGUGACGGUCAUGGGCUUUCUGGGAGUACGAGCAUGUACUAUCACCUUACUAGGAAUAGCAGAAUCAUUCUGGGUUAAUGAAACACGACGAAAAAUUUAUUUGGCAGGGAGAGGUGGUGGUGGGGAAGAAUAUUUAAAGUGUAAUAACACCUACGUUUUAUAUUCCUAUCCAUCUCAGUCUUUGCAAUUCAUCUGAUAGCUCAAAUACUAUAAAUUUAGUUGAAGAUAACAGAACAGAUGGGAAAAACAUAUGGUUUGUAGGUAGUGUGUGGUAGUUGGUAUUUGUAGUACAUUAGGGGAAUUUAUUUUAUUUUCUCUGUUUUCUAGUAUAACUUUCCCCCCACAAUUUGUCAAGCGAAUUCUUUAUACGGUUAGGUGAUGUUGGUUUUUUUUUUUUUUUACAAAAUUCUGCAUAAAACGGAGCAGUGGUUUUGUUUGUUUAUACCUGUUCAGCCAUGGCUUUGUUUGCCUCGCCCGUCUUCAGUCUUCUGUGCUUUGAAAUGGUUGCAGCUCUGUGAUCUAACUUGGAUCCGGUUAAAAGGUCCAGGUCAUGGAGUAAUUCUCCAUUCAGUUUUUAAUCUCUGAAUCUCCCAGUAACAAAAACCAGUGGCCGGCAUGUGGCUAAGCAUGAUGCAUUCUAUGGGCUAAUAACUGCUUUGACUCAUGCUCUUCACAAUGCAGAGCGGUGCAGUGGGAAGUUGGGGGAAUACCACGCCUCCCUUUCAUUAGACAUCUGGUUACCACAUCAGCAUAAAGGAGCCAAGUGGCUGCAUAUUGAUGACAUCAGUUUCCUGGAGGUAUUGUUAGAGAUCUGUAUGUGGCAGGGAUGAGAGUUUUCAGCACGGUAUUCUGGGAGGAAGAAGGAAGGCUGGGAUCCAUCUUGGGCAGGUUGGCUGAAGGCUGCCUGCACUGCUGUGGGAGACAUGCCCCUCUUGAAAUGACCAUGCUGCAAGAUCUGGACUUCCUCCAUGCAGACUGAAGGUGUAAGUAGGUGAAUAAGCCACAUUUCUUAAAGCUAUGGCAGUCUCUGUCGUGUUUUAAUUCUCUAAAGGACCACAGACCUCUCUUGCCACCACCCGGCAGAGAGAGGGGGAGGCACCCAACUUGUGUAACAGUAUUUUCUUAAGAAGUGAGGGAGUGUCUACCAUUUUCAUGCUUCAACUCUUGAGUAAGGUCUGCCUCUUGAUUUACAACACAUGGAAUUUGGAUGACAGGCAUGUUAAGGGCGGUUAACACAGCCUCUUUCCAGGGAGGCUCUGCCAGGGAGGUAAAGGUAAAGGGACCCCUGACCAUUAGGUCCAGUCGCGGACAACUCUGGGGACAACAUCUCGCUUUAUUGGCCAAGGGAGCCGGUGUACAGCUUCUGGGUCAUGUGGCCAGCAUGACUAAGCCACUUCUGGCGAACGAGAGCAGCGCAUGGAAACGCCAUUUAUCUUCCUGCCGGAGCGGUACCUACUUAUCUACUUGUACUUUGAUGUGCUUUUGAACUGCUAGGUUGGCAGGAACAGGGACCGAGCAAUGGGAGCUCACGCCGUUGUGGGGAUUCGAACCGCCGACCUUCUGAUCGGCAAGUCCUAGACUCUGUGGUUUAACCUACAGCACCACCCGUUAUGACCCUCCUAAAUCAGUCCAAAGUCUCAUCUAGUCCAGCAGGCUGUUCUCACAGUGGCCAACCAGUUACCCAUGGGAAAUCCCAAAACAGGCCAUGAGGGCUGCGUUACUCUCCCACUUGUGAUCCUGAGCAACCGAUAUUCAGUAACCAUGAAUAGACUUGUCCUCCAUUAAUUUGUCUAAUCCCCUUUCAAAUAUAUCCACGUUGCUUGCCAUCGCUGCUUCCUUUUACCCACCCUCAAUCUCUCGCAAGCCGCCCUCCCAAAUUCAGCUUCUACGGAUGACCCAAAUUUUUAUAACUCAGUUUUGCAUUCCUUCUCACACAGAGAAGAAAGCCAGACACGAUUCAGGGCAGAUGCAGGUGUGAGAUCCAUGUUGAGGUUGCUUUUUGUCCCAAAGGAGGAGAUACAAGCAUUGGGAGAUGCUAUGGAGAGAAGAGAUUGAGAGAGGGGGAAAGAGAGAGGGAAAGACAGAGAGAGAAAAAGAAAUCUGGGAGUGGGGAAAGAGGAAAGAGCUAUUCAGUGAGUGAGUAGCCGUGAAAAGGGCACUCCCCAGAAAUUUUCUAGGGCCCUUGUACCUACGGGACUGCCUCUCCUGGUAUGUCCCGCGGAGGACCUUAAGGUCCAUAAAUAGCAACACUAGAGGUCCCGGGCCCCAAUGAAGUCAGAUUAGCCUCAAUCAGGGCCAGGGCCUUUUUAACACUGGAUCCACCCUGGUGGAACGCUCUGUCUCAUGAGCCCAGGGCCCUGCAGGAUCUGAUUUCUUUCCGCAGGGCCUGUAAGACAGAGUUGUUCCACCUGGCCUUUGGCUUGGAACCAGCCUGAUCCCCUCCCCCUCUUUCCUUUUCCUUCUGUGAUGGAACCCCUAUUUGGGGACUUCCCUGGCUUUUCUGGCCCACGUAGGACCAGUCUGGAUAGUUGGCCUUGGUGAAGAUUUGAUAUUUUCUCCCCCCAAACAGUUUUUGAUCUGGGCUUCCAGUGAAAUGAGGCUGCAUUUUAAGUAGUAUUUUAAUCUUGUUUUUAAGUUGUAUUUUUAAUCAAUUGUUCUUAUACCUGAUAUUAGCCACCCUGAGCCUGAUCUUGGCUGUGGAGGGCGGGAUAAACAAACAAACAAACAAACAAACAAACAAACAAACAAACAAACAAACAAACACCCCAUUCCCAAAACUAAAUAAGAGCAUUUUUUUUCUAUAAAUUUAUGUUCUUGAAUGUAGAGUCUAAUCGAAGUAGUGUAACAUUUAAAUCAAGACUUAAGACUCCUUGGCUUCUUUGCGGAGAAUAAUUUUGUUUGGAAUCUAGCAAUGUCUGGCAAUUAAGACCAAGCAGAAAAGAAGGAGGUCAUGAAAAUAUGUUAAAAUUUGUGAUUAUAUUUCUGAAGGCUUUAAAAAAAAACAACUUACAACACCUAUAAAUGCUUCUUUUGGAAGAAGGGGUAUGUAGAUUCAGAAAUCCUCACCCGCUUUAGCGUCUGAAAUUGACUGUCUUUUUAGCUGCAAUCCUUUCUUUUGCAUUUAAACAUGCUUUCAUAAUUAAAAAAGAUUUGACAAGAUUGGGCAUUCCUAAACUCUGAUCCAAUCUACAGUGGCAAGCUGUGCUUAACUUCUGUUCCCCAUUACUCCAUCCUUUACCUACAUUCCUGGGGUCCCAGGUGUAUCUGCAUUUUGCUACUGAAUAAAUUUCCAGACGCUUUCUGGAACUUGGCUAAAGAACAAGUGAAGUCAUUCACAAUAUUGCUUGGUUUUGCCGCUGUCCUGGUUUACUGACUCAAACUGACAACCUGCUCUGUAACUUCUCUUGUCUGUCUAUUCUAUUAACCAUUAAAAAACAACACUCAACCCAUAAUAUUAAAAACUUCAACUCUUUAUUUUAACUAUGCGCCCUAAAAGCCAAAUGCUUUUAUAUAUAUAUUGCAGCAAGCAUUAGUUGAUUAAUCAGCUAGAGGAACUUUAAUGACAGAUUAAAAUUUGCCCUCUGUUUAAUCAGCGAGGUUGACAGCAACCAAUGGUACUUGACUUGAAGGACUCAGAGUUUGCUGUAUUGGCCCUUCUGGCUUGCAGUACCAGGACACAGCCUGAGUGCACCAGGGAGGGGGGGGGACUAGUUCAGGGGUGGGAGGAGGUGACAAAGGCAUAAUCAUAGGAGCAAAGAUUUUGCUGUACACAUUUAAUAAUAAUAAUAAUAAUAAUAAUAAUAAUAAUAAUAAUAAUAAUUUAUUUAUAUCCUGCCCUCCCCAGCUGAAGCCGGGCUCAGGGCGGCUAACAACAAUAAAAUAAUACAACAUUCUAAAAUCAUUUCAUUAUAAAUUUAAUUCAAAUCAAAUUGAUGGCAACCAUUGGGCUAGAGUUCUGUGAAGAUUGCCAAAGGAGGGAGUCAGGCUGUGCCUUGGCCAAAGGCCUGGUCUUGCAGGCCCUGCAGAAAGAUGUCAGGUCCCGCAGGGCCCUAGUCUCUUGUGACAGAGCGUUCCACCAGAUCGGAGCCACAGCCGGAAAAGCCAGGCUCUGGUUGAGGGCAGCCUAACCUCUCUGUGGCCUGGGACCUCCAAGAUGUUUUUGUUUGAAGACCGUAAGUUCUUCUGUGGGACAUGCCAGGAGAGGCGGUCCCGUAGGUACGAGGGUCCUAGGCCAUAUAGGGCUUUAAAGGUUAAAACCAGAACCUUAAACCUGAUCCUGUACUCCACCGGGAGCCAGUGCAGCUGGUAUAGCACCGGGUGAAUGUGAUCCCACAGCGAGGACCCCAUAAGGAGUUUCGCUGCAGCAUUCUGCACCCGCUGGAGUUUCUGGGUCAGUCUCAAGGGCAGCCCCACGUAGAGUGAGUUACAAUAAUCCAGUCUGGAGGUGACCGUCGCGUGGAUCACAGUGGCUAGGUCAGGGCGAGAGAGGUAAGGAGCCAACUGCUUAGCUUGGCGGAGAUGAAAAAACAUAUAAAUAUAUUGUAACUGAAAGUUGAGUAAGCAGAAUGGCAUAGUAGGAAUGGGUGUGUUGGGGUGGUGGUGGGAGAGAAAAAUUUCUUUCAUUCACUUUUUUUGCAGUCGGCCAACUUGAUCCAAUGCUUGCCGACUUAAUUGUGGAUCAGAAUGCAGCUCCCCAUCAGAUAAAGCACUUCCCUGAAUUUUGCAACGCAUUCACGCUGUGCGAAAAGUGCUCGCAGAAAUGUGUUUCGCGCAAAAUGCACAAAAAUUGUAUUUCUGGAGACAUUUUAGACCGCCCUGGAACUUGGCAUUGUUGUUAUGUACCCGCCAACAUUUCUCCAAUGAAAAUAGGGAUACCUAUUCUACAUCAGGAAGCUUACACUAUGUUUGAUCUUGCUGUAUGAAUAGACGCUAAUAAUAAUAAUAAUAAUAAUAAUAAUAAUAAUAAUAAUAUAUUUGUACCCCGCCCAUCUGGCUGGGUUUCCCCAGCCACUCUUGGCGGCUCCCAAUCGAAUAUUAUUAUUAUUAUUAAUAAUAAAGCAAUAAAAUAUCAAAUAUCAAAUAAAAUAUCUAAAUUCUCUUGCUGCGAGAAGUGAGGUUACAGGGAACCAGGCAGAGGGCCUUCUUGGUAGUGGUGCCUGCCCUGUGGAAUGCCCUCCCAGCAGAUGUCAAGACAAUAGACAAUUUUUUACUUUUAAAAGACAACUGAAGGCGGCCCUGUUUAGGGACGUUUUUAAUGUGUGAUGCUGUAUUGUUUUUAAUAUUCGGUUGGAAGCCACUCAGAGUGGCUGGGGAAACCCAGCUAGAUGGGCGGGGUAUAAAUAAUAAAUUAUUAUUAUUAAACUCUGGCUGCCGUUGUCGCAUACAGAAAUUGUUUUUCAUCUUCUUUCUCAUCCCCACCCAUUCCUAAAAGAAAUGCCUCUGGCCUUUUAGGGAAAGUAUAUCUAAAAGGGGAACACAGGUGGUGCUGUGGGUUAAACCACAGAGCCUAGGACUUGCCGAUCAGAAGGUCGGCAGUUCGAAUCCCAGCGAUGGGGUGAGCUCCCAUUGCUCGGUCCCUGCUCCUGCCAACCUAGCAGUUCAAAAGCACAUCAAAGUGAAAGCAGAUAAACAGGUACCGCUCCAGCGGGAAGGUAAACGGCAUUUCCAUGCGCUGCUCUGGUUCGCCAGAAGUGGCUUAGUCAUGCUGGCCACAUAACCCGGAAGCUGUACGCCGGCUCCCUCGCCCAAUAAAGUGAGAUGAGCGCCGCAACCCCAGAGUCGUUCACGACUGGACCUAAUGGUCAGGGGUCCCUUAAGCAGGUCUCUGUUUUUUCACCCACGCACACCCCACUUUUAAGUGUUCUCCAAGAUGUGGAGGGGAGGAGAAAGGGAAGGUGGGACAUUCCAGGAUCUAAUAAGAAACCAGGACAGGUGCUGUAAUUCUGGGACUGUCUCUGGAAAACAGGAACACUUGGAUGGUAUGUUGCUAUUGGUGAGAGCUGAGUUCAGGGUGGGGACCAAAGGUGGAGAAAUUACUCAAGAAGGAGCACAACGUGCCCCCACCAGAGGUGGUAUCCUCCUCCCCCCCCCCGCAUACCCUUGACAUUAGACUACACAGAAAAGGAAUAAACCAAUGAACACUUUUGUGGGGGUGGGAUCAGAGCAACUUGUUGUUCUAUGGCUCUUUUAAAGGAACCAGCCCUUCCUUUCACUCCCUGCCCACUUCAGUUUGAAAGACAGGGGCAAUUUCAGUCUCCAGAGCUGCCAGCACUAUGGAUUUUGUCCUUUUACAGCUGUCCUUUGAUAACGCAAGAGAAAAAUUAAUCCUUUAUAGCCCCUGAUUAUCUGUUUGCAGCUUAUUAAAGAUAUGAAUGCCAGUAAUUUUAAAUGGCUGCAUUAAGUUGUCCUUGAAACAAGAAAUGCAAAACAAAAAAGCAUAGGAAAGGUGUUUUUAAAAAAUGAAUCAUUAAUACAUUCCAGACUGGUGCAGGAGGACUGUGGAGGGGUGGUUUGGUUUUAUAAGAGCUGUAGACAUUGGCUCUUUAGUAACAUGGAUGAAUUAUAUUUUUAUAGCUAGCUUUUAUGAACUCCGCAAUCUCAGGGCAGAGAUUAUAACAGACUAAAUGCCAUGCACUAUUGAUAAUCUUACGUUAGCAUUUCAACCGUAUGAGUGUACUUUAGCUGAUAGCACCCAUUGCAGAGUGGAUGGAAAUCUGAUGUAGGCAGCAAUUAAUAAUAAUUGUGUGUUUGCGAAACAGUAUUGCCACAGUGUUUUACGUAACUCGUCUUUGGAACAGCAGGCUCUAAAGACACAGGGAACCGAAAAGAUGCUUCCUUCAUUUUGCCAACUGCUCAUUGUACUUCCACUAAACUCAGGAACUGCACGUAUAACUGUAAGCUCCUAUGAAACGGGCAGGGAAAGUUUUAUUAAUGGAGAAGCAAGUUCUGUAAUACGAAAAGCUCCUGUAAAAAUAACAAGAGGAAAUUUCCUUGGAACAAAUCUUAUUGCAGCAAUGUAUAAGCAAUUGCCUGCAUGUUUUUUGGGGUUUUUUUUUUUUUUUGCAACUGCUAAUUGUAUAGCAAAUGGAGAACAUUCACAUAAAGAUUUGUAUAGUGCCAUUGUGUCAAAUCAGAUAUUUUAGAGAAAAAGUGCUUUUAAAAGCAAAUUACUAGAUCCUUGAAAAUAAUAUAUGUCUUCUGUGUUAGCACAAUGGGUAUGCAGCAUGUUGCCCUCCAGGUGGUUGUUUAGUCAUGUAGUCAGGUCCGACUCUUCGUGACUCCAUGGACCAGAGCACGCCAGGCACUUCUGUCUUCCACUGCCUCCCGCAGUUUGGUCAAACUCAUGCUGGUAGCUUCAAGAACACUAUCCAACCAUCUCGUCCUCUGUCGUCCCCUUCUCCUUGUGCCCUCCAUCUUUCCCAACAUCAGGGUCUUUUCCAGGAGUCUUCUCUUCUCAUGAGGUGGCCAAAGUAUUGGAGCCUCAGCUUCAGGAUCUGUCCUUCCAGUGAGCACUCAGGGCUGAUUUCCUUCAGAAUGGAGAGGUUUGAUCUUCUUGCAGUCCAUGGGACUCUCAAGAGUCUCCUCCAGCACCAUAAUUCAAAAGCAUCAAUUCUUCGGUGAUCAGCCUUCUUUAUGGUCCAGCUCUCACUUCCAUACAUCACUACUGGGAAAACCAUAGCUUUUACUAUACGGACCUUUGUUGGCAAGGUGAUGUCUCUACUUUUUAAGAUGCUGCUCCAGGUGGUAUUGGACUCCAAUUCCUAUCAGCCCCAGCCAACAUAGCAAAUGGUCAAGAAUGAUGGGAUUUGUGGUCCAGAAACAUUUGAGAGGGACAAAGGUUCCCCUCUCCUGCUUUACAGUUAGGUUAACUCAUGUUUUUCCUAAUGAAAAUCCAAUAGUUUGAAGGAUUUAUUUGGCAACUCCUUUCUUGUCUCAGACAUUAACCAAGGAUCAAAGUUGGCCUCCGGUCCUGCCUGCCUUAAUGGAAGCAGCCCCCAUGAUAGCGGGGGAUCAUAGGCGAACAAAAAACAAGGAUGACAGAGCGUAAAUCAUCCUUGCAAAUUCCCCCCAGGAUCGGGGGGCAAUGGGCUUCACUCACAGUUCGUCUUGGUACCUGGCUCUCGCUGCGGCAUGAAUUGCAGGAGGCAAGGAGAUGCUGCCUGGUGAAAAGCCUCCUAUGCCACUAUUAAGAAGCAGAGGUUCUCCAUUUAAUUGGAGAUUUAAUUGGCUUUAAAGUACUGGCACAUGAUGGAAAAGGAUUGAAAUAACUUAGUGCUGAAUAUACCAGCUACAUGGAUCAAAGGUUUGAAUUGAGAAAGAUUUUAUUCAGAGUGAGAGUCGGUUGGGGAGAGGGAAGUCCGCCAUUUGUUUGUUUAUUCUAAGCUUCUUUUAUAUAUUUAUGAUUUGGCAACCCUCUCUGGAAUAUAAGAUAAAAAUAUAUUUACAGGUGAGGAAGGGACGUUGGAGUAAUAUUGAUAUUAACAAGCAAAAAUGGAAACUGUGUGUGAUCUGAAAUGAAGAAAGGAGGGGGAGGAGAAGCUCAAGUACGACUGUGUUGGAAAGAAAGAGUAAUUCCCCUCACCUCUGUUUAAAAACAACAGACAAGGAAAAAGAGACCAAGAUUUGUGUGUGCUACUGACGGAAUGUGAUCUAAGAUAAAGUUUAAUUGGGCCAUAAAUCUCUUGCUGAAAGGAAAAGAAUUGGGGGGCUGUGAUAAGAACACUGCAGAGAUUCUGGGAGUUGGAAAGGAGUAUUGAAUAUUCAGUGUGUUUGAAAACUUCCCACCUUUUCCUAGGCUGAGGGUAAAAUGGCGAAGAUCUGCGACAUGUUUUACUAGUGAGGCAGACUGUUGCCUGUUCUGAGACAUCGAAGCAAGGGAUGGAGAGAUAAGACCUGUGAGAAACUUUGAGAUUCAGUUCUGCCCCAAGCCAUGAUGGGAGAAAACAACAGCUGGGAAAUGAAAGAGACAACACCAUCUAGGUACAAAAGGAAUCUCCAUGGAUAUAAUAGUUUUCACCCACAGGGCAGAAUAAAGAUAACGGUUUGAGUUCCUGACUUGAAGCUUUAUAAAGUUAUAUAUUGUAACGUCAUGAAUGGAAAUCAUUAAUUAUGUAGCCAUUGACUAAGGGAUGAUUAUUAUAACUGAAAUGUAACUGACAUUAAUUAAGAUUUAUGGAACACAGUGAUAUAAGAUCGGAAAUGCACCCAAACCAUCAUGCAUCGAGCCACUUUAACUAAAAUGUAUUAAUUGGAAAUUGAUUGGCAUUUUGAUAAUUGUAUAAUUUGGGAAUUAAUUGUUAUUGUCAUAAUUUGGCUAUUAUUGGGGGUAUAUUGGAAAUAUAUAUAUAUAUUUAUAUAUAUAUAUAUAUCAAGGGGGGACGCGGGUGGCACUGUGGGUAAAACCUCAGCGCCUAGGACUUGCCGAUCAUCAGGUCGGCGGUUCGAAUCCCCGUGGCGGGGUGCGCUCCCGUUGCUCGGUCCCAGCACCUGCCAACCUAGCAGUUCGAAAGCACCCCCGGGUGCAAGUAGAUAAAUAGGGACCGCUUACUAGUGGGAAGGUAAACGGCGUUUCCGUGUGCUGCGCUGACUCGCCAGAUGCAGCUUGUCACGCUGGCCACGUGACCCGGAAGUGUCUCUGGACAGCGCUGGCCGCCGGCCUCUUAAGUGAGAUGGGCGCACAACCCUAGAGUCAGACACGACUGGCCCGUACGGGCAGGGGUACCUUUACCAUAUCUCAAGGAUCAAAGUUAUUUUUGCUAUAAAUGUACAAAGUGAAGGCAAAAAGAGCAUGUGACAAGUUCAUCAAUAAGCUGGUUUCCAAAUUUGCCAGCGCUUGCUCAAUGUGGAAAGAUGACAUUUCUGUGUACUCAGGAAAGGUCAACAGACUUCUCAACGGGAAAACUGUUGAAUAAGUUUACAUAUUCCACAGUAAAAGACCAAAUUCAUGCAGAAUUUAGAUUUCUUAUUUAUCUGAGUGGACCCCCCAAAGUAAGAGUAUUUAUGUGCAAAACCCAUUGGUAUGUUUGAAAACCACUUCACUAUUAAAUCUCAUGUAAGGCAUCUACCUAAGCAUCUACUUUAAGUUGUCUGUUGGAAACUUCUCUGUUCAUCAUGGUGAGGAUUUCUUUUUUGGGGGGUGGGGGUGGGAUCUCAUUCUUGCUGUAAUAUCUGCAUUUGUCUAUUUUAAGUUUUUAAUAUAUUGUGGUCUUAUGAUGUAGGGAUGGAUGGUUCAGCCUAUUUCCUUUCCAUGCCAGCUCAAUUAUUGGUCCAUUCUGUCCAAUUUUUGUGAUUUUUUUUAAUGCAGAAAAUAGCAUUUUGCACGUUUUUCCUCCUGAAAUAUAAACUUUUUUUUAUGUGUUUCCUUUAAAAUAUGCCUUUUUGUUUGCAUUCCCUAUAAGACAUGCAUUUUGUGCAUGUAGUUGAACUGUAAUAAUAAUAAUAAUAAUAAUAAUAAUAAUAAUAAUAAUAACAACAACUUAUUUAUUUAUACCCCACUCUUCCUGGUUCAAAAACCAGGCUCAGGGUGGCUGACAACAAAUUUAAAACACUUAAUUGUAAAAGCAGCAUAAAAUACAGUAUAAAAACAUGGGUAACAAUAAAAUUCAAAAUUCAGAAAUCAUUUUAGGGGAAAUAAGCAUUAGAUAAUCCCCAGGGCUUGCUGGCUGAAUUGGUCCUACUUGGGCCAGCAAGGAGGCCAGGGGAGAAUUAGCUGUGCGGUCUCAGAGCAGGUAAUCGUCAUAAAAGGGGAGGGGGAGGGAAGAGAAGGGAAAUAAAAUAAAUAAAAGGCUGAGUUCAAAUUAAAGGCCAGGCGGAAUAACUGUAAGUAGAUCACAACAUUCAGAGAGUGCUUCUGUCCAACUCAUAGCUCUGUUCUACUCUGUGUGUAAGUUGGGGCCUGUGCAAAAGCUUUGGAUUGCUUUAAUAGGCAGACCAAACUAAUUUCUCCUCCUAAAAUGUACGCGUCCCGUUAGGGACAACGUAUUACUUAUAUAUUCCCUGAAUUUUAAUAUUGGAAGGAGAUUAAUAGCAUAAUUCUUGACAUGUGUAAUCAAAAAUAAGCCCCACUGAAUUCAACAGAGCUUACCUUAAAGAAAUUGGGUACAGCAUUGCAUCCUUAGGCCAUAGCUGUCAACCGUCCCUUAUUUGGCAGGAAAGUCCCUUAUCCCAGCGCCGUGUCCCGCUGCUGUCCGUUAUUGAUGAUGUCCCUUAAAUUUUCCGGGUUUCAAAGGAAGCAGCUCCUCUCCCUCCCUCUCUGCUGGCCAGGGAGGAGGGAGGCUCCAACUGUGUUGCUUGGCUGUGUUGCUCACCCAAUAAGGAGUCUAAGAACGACUGGGGGGUGGAGCUCGCAUGCCUUGUGCCGAUCAAAUCGGCCGCAUUGCUUGGGGACUCGCCUUUGCUCAGCGCUUCCCAGCGGAGAGGUGACGGUGGUUUUCCUUGCUGCAUCCCCUUUGCCGGGUUGCUGCGCUGUGGGAACCACCGCUUGAGGCUUUGUUUGGCUGCUGGCUGGGCUUUCUGCCUUUGGCUCGGAGGGGCUCAGAAGUUGAACAUACCUGUUUUCAGAAAAUCCCUUCUUUUGGCUGCUGAUCCCUUAUUUUCGAGGCUGCUGGUUCCUUAUUUUCAAAUCUGUAAGUUGACAGCUAUGCCUUAGGCUGUACUGCUAUGCUGACCUACUUGGGUGUAGGCCCUAUGUAACUCAUUGGGGCUUACUUCCAAGUAAACAUGCUUAGGAUUGUGCUUGAAACACAUUGCAGAUAAGAAUAACUAUGCAUAAAGGAAACCUCUUUACUUCUUGACACUUUUCAUUCAAAAUAGCCACUGUGAGUGGCUUUGAGCUUCUUUUGCAGCCUGCUCUAGGUCUUGACUCAUGGCUGAAGGAAUGUUUGGUCUAAAAUUCUGGCCCUCAACUCAUUGGCUUGUGCGACUCUUUUCUUCCAUGUUUCAGAAACCUCAGGCAGCCACAGAAACGAUCACAGAGUCCAACGUGAUCAACAGAUGAGGGGAAAUCCAUUGAAUGAAAUGUCUUAUUUUGGGUGUGUUCAUAGUUGUGUGACCAUUGUGAUGUGUAGAUUUUGAUAAUCAGUUACACACAUUUCACCCCAACCCAAAGCGCGUUAGAGAAGUCAACUCUGACCCAAACCUGAAAUGAAAGUCUGCCCAGCAGCAGGCUGAUGUCAUAGAUUGGGUGAAUUAAAAACAUAAACACCAGAGGGACUCUUUGUGUGUAAAACUAGGCUCUUGGGCUGGGAUAAUAAUAAUUAUUAUUAUUAAUAAUAAUAAUUUAUAACUUAUACCCCGCCCAUCUGGCUGGGCUUCCGUGGCCAAUCUGGGCGGAUUCCAAAAAAAUAUUAAAAUACUGUAAUACAUCAAACAUUAAAAGCUUCCCUAAAUAGGGCUGCCUUCAGAUGUCUUCUAAAAGUCUGGUAGUUGUUGUUCUCUUUGACAUCGGGUGGGAGGGCAUUCCACAGGGUGGGUGCCACUACCGAGAAGGCCCUCUGCCUGGUUCCCUGUAACUUGGCUUCUCGCAAUGAGGGAACUGCCAGAAGGCCCUCGGAGUUGGACCUCAGUGUCCGGGCAGAAUGAUGGGAGUGGAGGCGCUCCUUCAGGUAUACUGGACCGAGGCCAUUUAGGGCUUUAAAGGUCAGCACCAACACUUUGAAUUGUGCUCGGAAACGUACUGGGAACCAAUGUAGGUCUUUCAAGACCGGUGUUAUACGGUCUCGGCGGCCGCUCCCAUUUAAUUGCCAAUUAAGAAUGUUGCUUUCAGACUGAAGACCACACAGUGAAAAGAUCUAAAAGGUUGACGAUGCAUAUACGAGAAGACAGCUCCUCUCCUCUAUCUUAGGUGACCCUACUGGGAGUGUAUGACUCCUGAAGGCUUUGCUCACGAGGAUCACAGGAACGUUCAAGCCCACUCACCAUGACCAGGUGAUGAUCCAGAACAUGUGACCAACCCUGUCACAACUGGACCGGCUGUCGAUUACUUUCGAGGCCCAAAUCAAAGUGCAGCUGUUGACCUACAAAGCCUUACACAACUCCGGGCCUCAAUACCUGAAGGAUCGCCUCUCCAUGUAUGAACCGACCAGGCCCUGGGCUUGUCAUCUGAGGCCCUUCUCUGUGUCCCCCAUCCCUUUGAGGUUCAGAGGGUGACAACACAAGAACGGGCCUUAUCUCUGGUGGCUCCCUGAUUGUGGAAUGCUCUCCCCAGAGACACCCGCCUGGCGCCAUCACUAUGUGUCUUUAGGUGCCAGGCAAAAACAUUCCUCUUUACCUAGACCUAGGGCUAUUAAAUAAUCUCUGGCCUGUGAAAGUGUGGGGGAGAAGACGGUUGUUAUGAUGACUAUUUUAUUAUUAGGCUGCCUGUCAGGAUGCGUUUUAUUGUGUUUUGAUUAUGUUUUUAUCAUUGAUGUUCAAUAAUAUCAUUGAUGUGUUUUAAUGUGGUACACCGCCCUGGGAUCUUCUGAUAAAGGGCGAUAUAUAAAUUGGGCAGUAUAUAAACUGAAAUAAUAAUAAUAAUAAUAAUAAUAAUAAUAAUGUGACCCUUGAGCAGAUAGUUUCUCCAUGCCUGAGGUAAACCAGUCAGUUCCCUUUAUGCCUAUGCAUUACAGUCCUGGUUUGAAUUCUCCAAAGACUGUUUUCCAGACUGCAGUGUCCAAACUACAGUGAUCAUAGUUCUAGAUGAUAGACGUGGAGGAAAAUCUUUCUGAAGCUUUUUUGUUGUUCAGCUCUGUUGAAAUCACCAAGGCGUCAAUCAUUCCUGUGCUGCGAAAAGUGUUAGUGUUCAGGGGCUUGCUGUUUUCCCUUCUUCUAAAAAUAAGAGCAGGAGUUAUUUCAUUGAGGGGUUUGCCAAAUGAUUUGAUAGCAUUCUUUAGCUGAUUAACUCUCUUGCGUUGAGCUGGUAAUUCAAUCGAUUCCUCAUCGAUCGAAAUAACUUUAACAUGACACCCUAAUAUAGGCAAUAUUUUGUGGGUAUUUAUUGGAUUCCCUCUGUCCAUUAAAGAAGUGGCAAAUCAUUAUUUUUUUUCCAGUUAGGGAGGUAAUGUUGCAGGCAUGGCUUGAGCUCAGAGGCAAAGGCGGAAUGCCAUAAUGUGGUGUCAAGCUUGAUACUUUAAAAAACUCAGGUAAGAGGCUGAUCACAGAAAUUUGCAUAACGUUUGCAUCUAUUUAUGUGUAUAGCUGGUUCUGGGCAGUUAGGCUCAGCUGGAUAGCUGGGGUCUCAGCAAGGGAUGUCAAAUUGUUGUUGUUGUUGCCAUCUGUCUGUCUGGAGGAUGUUUGGUACAAGGACAGUGGAACCUUGGUUCUCGAACUUAAUCCGUUCCGGAAGUCCGUCUGACUCCCGAAACUGUUCGGCAACUGAGGGGCAGCUUCCGAUUGGCUGCAGGAGCUUCCUGCACUGAAGCGAAAGCAGCGUCGGACAUUAGGCUUCCAAAAAACGUUCGAAAAAAGGAACACUUACUUUUGGGUUUACAGCAGUUGGGAGCCGAUUUAUUCGUCAACUAGGCCGUUCGAGAACCAAGGUUCUACUGCUAAUAAUAAUAAUAAUAAUAAUAUUUUUUAUUUAUAUCCCACCCUCCCCAGCCGAAGCCGGGCUCCGGGCGGCUAACAACAAUAAAAUAGUACCACAUUCUAAAAACAUUUCAUUAUAAAAAUUAAUUCAGCUCAAAUGGAUGGCAACCAUUAGGCUAAGGUUCUGUGAAGAUUGCCAAGGGAGGGAGUCAGGCUGCGCCCUGACCAAAGGCCUGGUGGAACAGCUCUGUCUUGGAGGCCCUGCGGAAAGAUGUCAAGUCCCGCAGGGCCCUAGUCUCUUGUGACAGAGCGUUCCACCAGAUUGGAGCCGCAGCCGAAAAAGCCCUGGCUCUAGUUUGAGGCCAGCCUAACCUCUCUGUGGCCUGGGACUUUCAGGAUGGUUUUAUUUAAAGACCGUAAGUUCCUCUGUGGGACAUACCAGGAGAGGCGGUCCCGAAGGUACGAGGGUCCUAGGCCGUAUAGGGCUUUAAAGGUUAAAACCAGCACCUUAAACCUGAUCCUGUACUCCACCGGGAGCCAGUGCAGCUGGUAUAGCACCGGGUGGAACGCAAAGACAGAGCUGACAAGUGAGAACUAGCCCCUUCCGCCAAAUUAUGCUGUCAAGCCUUUCCUACAUGUUCCAUACAACAUUCAACAAUAACAAAUCACUGCUUUGCUGGGUCCACUUACUCUUUCUACCAUUGCUGACUAGCCACCCUUGUCUCAGCUACGAAAGAGUGGGGCAGCCUUAGCUACAGCUGCUGGGAAUGUGUUUGGGAGGAGCUGCUGAAGAAUAAAACGACCAUCUGGAGCAGUUCUGGAUUUAGGGUGGUGCUGGUGGUUCCCCAGCGCAUAUCACUGAGCUGAGGGGGUGCAAAAUUGAGAAGAUCCAUAAUUGAGAAGAGCCAUUUGGAAGCACCAAACUUUGGCUUCGCACAGGGUACUAUAUUAUGAAAGAUUACCAAAGUCCACCCCUUUCUGGUGGGACCCUUUGCUUCCUCGCUCUCCUCAGUGUAUUCAGACAGAAAGCUUUAAACCAGGACUUUUUCAUUCGGAACUCAGUUCUGGCACCUCUCAGGUGAGUGCCAUUGUCAGUAUAAGAGAACAAAGGAGGCGUUCAUGGUGAGUUCUGUCACCUCUUUUUCUAGAAAAAUAGCACUGCCUAAAACCAAUAUAAGGGACGCGGGUUUCGCUGUGGGUUAAACCACAGAGCCUAGGACUUGCCGAUCAGAAGGUCGGCGGUUUGAAUCCCUGCAACGGGUGAGCUCCCGUUGCUCGGUCCCUGCUCCUGCCAACCUAGCAGUUCGAAAGCACAUCAAAGUGCGAGUAGAUAAAUAGGUACCACUCCGGCGGGAAGGUAAACGGCAUUUCCAUGUGAUGCUCUGGUAAUAAUAAUAAUAAUAAUAAUAAUAAUAAUUUAUUAUUUAUACCCCGCCCAUCUGGCUGAGUUUCUCCAGCCACUCUGGGCGGCUCCCAAUCAAGUGUUAAAAACAGUACAGCGUUAAAUAUUAAAAACUUCCCUAAACAGGGCUGCCUUCAAAUGUCUUUUAAAGAUAGGAUAGCUGCUUAUUUCCUUCACAUCGGAAGGGAGGGCGUUCCACAGGGUGGGCGCCACUACCAAGAAGACCCUCUGUCUGGUUCCCUGCAACCUCACUUCUUGCAAUGAGGGAACCGCAAGAAGGCCCUCGGUGCUGGACCUCAGUGGGGGCUGAAUGAUAGGGGUGGAGAUGCUCCUUCAGGUAUACAGGACCGAGGCCGUUUAGGGCUUUAAAGGUCAGCACCAACACUUUGAAUUGUGCUCGGAAACGCGGCUUAGUCAUGCUGGCCACAUGACCUGGAAGCUGUACGCCGGCUCCCUCGGCCAAUAAAGCGAGAUGAGCGUCGCAACCCCAGAGUCGACCACGACUGGACCUAAUGGUCAGGGGUCCCUUUACCCUUUACCUUUAAAACCAAUAUACUGCCUACUCUGGGAGAUAGUCUUUCAUUUAGGAUUUGUAUCUCCCACUUUUCUUGACAACAAAGAACAUUGUAAGAAGUUAUGUGACACAUGGACACAGACACACAGACACACAGACACACACACACACACACACACACACACACACGAGUGGUACCUUGGUUUACAAACUUAAUCUGUUCCUGAAGUCUGCUCUUAAACCAAAUCCAUUCUUAAACCAAGGCGUGUUCCCUAAUGAGGCCUCCCGCCGCCGGUGCUCUUCCAUGGUUUGGCUUCCAUUCUUAGACCAAGGUAAAGUUCGCAAACUGGGACACUACUUCUGGUUUUGCAGAGUUUGUAAACCGAAUAGUUCAUUAACAGGGCUGUUCGUAAACUGAGGUACCACACUGUGUGUGUGUCUCUCUGUGUGUAUUUAUAUUUGCCUGUGUGACUGGAAUUUCCUCUUUUUCCAUCCCCUAGCAGCAAGUAUGAAGCCAUGAGGUGGUCAUCUUUUAAGAAAUUCACAAUGCAGCCAACUAUGGUAUUUUAUUUCCUGUGAGAAAACACCUCUUCUCCUUGUCAAUUAUCCUUUUUCAUUUGGGUUCCAAAUGAUGAAAAUCAGUCUUUCCGUUAAAGAGAUGUGCCUGACCUUCCAGAUGUCUGAAAAACGAUAGUUUAUAGGGCCCACCAGCAAAACAAUGAUAAAAUGCCCCGAUUUGGUUUAUCUGUACUCUCAUGAGGGAGAGUUUGAAGUCUUCCUGCUGAAGCACCAGGGCUGUGACUCAGACUGUGCAGAAAAUAACUGGCACUUGAAAGCACUGAGGUGACAGCCUGUAGUUGUAACUUCAAACCUGUAACGUUUAUCGGAUUUAUGUACCUCUAAUGGAAAUGAUGACUCUUCGGAUCCUGGAUCUGUAGAUUGGCUUUUGGGAAAGCUCAAUUCAUUAUUCAACUAGAUAGCAGAAGGCGUCAAAACCGUAUAGCUAAAAACGUUUUAUAGCCAAAUUGCUAGCUAGCUAUGAGCAGGAAUAAAUGACGGGCAACGUAUAUUCAAAGGAUGACCUACCCAGCAAGCCGCUUUUUCACGAGGAGACGAUGAUGUGAGAAAAUGUGUUGUGUGAAUAGCUCUCUCACACACGGCUGGCUCCCCACCGGUUCCUUGUCAUGGAACACGUUGUUUCAUCUCUACACUGUCAUCUUAACUGUGGCCGACUGUGGAGUUUAGCGACUCAAAGUAUUGCAACUGCUCAGCAGUUUUGAAGUGAGUGACAGCCUUGUUGCCUGCUUUGGCUCACUCUCAUUGCAGCUACUAAGCACGAGUGGAAAUUCAAGGUGAGGGAUGUUUCUCCCUCAGAAAAAUGGAGCCGGCUGUGAAUUCCACCAUCGGACUUUGGUUCAUCCCUCGUUGGCAUUCAGGAUGGCUUUGCACACAUGCGAUGAAGGCCCUGAGUGAGAAUUAAGUGAAAUCUGAAUUAUUAUUAUUAUUAUUAUUAUUAUUAUAAUAAAAAAAUUAUUCAAAAUUAAAACAAAACAUAUUAUCCAAAAACAUAUCAUCCUCAUUCCCCCCCUUUUUGCUCCCUCCCCCCACCCUCCAACACAAAACCCACCCACCCCCCGGCUUCCCUCAGUUCCCUCAGUCUUUGGUUUCUAUGAGAAGGCUGUUUUCUGCAUGUUACAAAGUUGUACAGAUCCUCAAACUAUUUAGCUGAUUAUUAUCAAUAAAAAGUUUGUGAAUGUUUAUUCAAAGCCAGCCAAGGAGUCCAGUUCGCUUUGUUGCAUCUUCAAAUACUUUGUAAAGGGUUCCCAUUCAUCUUUAAAGUCACAGUUAUCCUUGUCCUGCAGCUUGUAUGUCAGUUUUACCAGUUCUGCAUAGUCCAUCAAUUUUUCUUGCCAUGAUUCUUUAGUUGGGGUUUCUUCAGUCUUCCAUCCUUGUGCUCUUAGAACUCUCUUGGCCGUUGUCGCAUACAUGAAGAUGUUUUUCAGCUUUUUUGGCAGAUCUUUCCCUACAAUCCCUAACAAAAAUGCUUCAGGUUUUUUAACAAGUGUUAAAUGGAACAUUUUCUUCAAUUCGUUGUAUAUCAUUUCCCAAUUUUUUAAAAUUACAUUACAAUCCCACCACAUAUGAUAAAAUGUCCCCUCCUUUUCCUUACACUUCCAACAUAUAUUUGAACUAGUUUUGUACAUUUUCCCUAACUGCACUGGAAGUGAAAUCUGAAUUAUAUGCUUUUUUUUGUUUUAAAGUUUCUGAUGGCUAAAUUACUGGAUUGGUGUAAGCCUACCUUGACCCUAAAUAUAGGGACAUGUCCUGAAACAGUAGCACAGAUGGAGUCAAUGGAAGGAACAUAGCGUUGUGCUAAGUUAAAGUCUAAUAAUAAUAAUAAUAAUAAUUUAUUAUUUAUGCCCUGCCCAUCUGGCUGGGUUUCUCCAGCAACUCUGGGUGGCUUCCAACAAAAGAUUAGAAAUAUAUCAAAACAUCAGUCAUAAAAAACUUCCCAUACUAGCUGUGCUGUGCUGGCUUGUGAAAGAGAAGGGCAGGUACGUGAAUUUCUAUAUUAAUUUGGGCUGGAUCUAGACCCUAGACCAGUGGCUUCCAACCUUUUUUGGCCACCUAAGCAUCUCUAAAAUCCUGGUGCAAUCCCCCCUCCCAUGACAUAUAAUUCUAAUUAUUCAAAAAGUGAACUCCUAUUCACAUGGAGGGAGCCAAGGCCAUUCACUGUUAAUAACUCAUUCUCGAAUUGCCUCCCUUAAAAAUCAAAUGGCGCCCCACAUUGGGAACAACGGAUCUAGACACAUCAAAGAAGCGUUUCAGCUAAACGCGCUGCAAACUUUGUAUGAGAAAUUGGGUAAGCAAAAAUGGAACUCCGCAGCGCUAUCUGGUGCCACAGUGUUAGAAUGCAUUUACAACACAUAUAAAGCGUUUUUUCUUUGCCAAUGUAGCUGAGUCCUAGGUUAGAGCACUGCCUCAAAAUUUGGGAAAGUACAGAUUUCGAAGGAUUGGUUGAGUUUCGCUUCAUGUAGCAUUUUAAGGUAAAGGUAAAGGGACCCUUGACCAUUAGGUCCAGUCGUGACCGACUCUGGGGUUGCGGUGCUCAUCUCACUUUAUUGGCCGAGGGAGCCGGCGUACAGCUUCCGGGUCACAUGGCCAGCAUGACUAAGCUGCUUCUGGCGAACCAGAGCAGCGAACAGAAAUGCCGUUUACCUUCCCGCCGGAGUGGUACCUAUUUAUCUACUUGCACUUUGAUGUACUUUCGAACUGCUAGGUUCGCAGGAGCAGGGACCGAGCAGCGGGAACUCACCCCGUCAUGGCGAUUCGAACCGCCGACCUUCUGAUCGACAAGUCCUAGGCUCUGUGGUUUAACCCACAGCGCCACCUGUGUCCCUAUGUAGCAUUUUAGAACGUGCUAAUUGGGUAGAUUCACCUUUAAAUGCAAAAUUUAAUCUCUGUCCAACUAUUAACUGCAUUACGCUGUUGGGAUUCCAGUGAGCACUGUUUGUGCAUUUUCUUUUUAGUAGCUGGUCCAUGUUUGUGUCAACCAUUUCUCCCUUUUUGUCAGUUAUUGUCAAGUAUUUGAGCUGAUCGCUUUGCACGUCUUCUCAUUAUGCUCCCAGUGUGAACAAGAUUCUCCCUCCUUUCUUAUCUCUAAUUCCAUUAUUAGAAAUAACCUGCUGGCUAAUUUUCAAGCCUUUUUACCUUUCUGCAUUUUGAAAACAUGAUAUGCAAAACUAGAGGGGUAAAAGCGAUACUUGAUUUCAAAAGUGUGUGCUUCCUCUCCCUCUCUUCUCAUAUAUAUAUAUAUAUAUAUAUAUAUAUAUAUAUAUGAGAGAGAUUCAGAUAUACAUAUUCCUAGCACUAAACAUGAUUAGAGCAUAGUAUGGAUUAAUUGCUCCGCCAAAUGUCAUCCCUAUAAAUCAAAUCUGUUUUGUGACAUAUGAGUGAAAGUAUCUGAAUGCUUCAAAGUCAUUAAAAGCUAUCUGCAUAAUUUUAAAAGCUGCUAAACAUUGUUCUUAUUUACAUUGUAGGCUGGAAGGGACCGGGGUGAAAGAGAAGGGAAUGUUUACUGCGCUAAUGAGAACUUGAGUGACACAUUUCUGUCAAAUGCUAAUUUUUACAUCAACCCUUUUGACAAGGGUGUUUGCGACAAAUAUAUAUAUAUAUAUGCUGCACUAAGGAAUUCAGGGCCCAAACCUUCUACCCCCUUCUGAUUCCUUCUUCUCCCAACCUGCCACACCCCCCCCUUCAGGCAAAAUGCCCUGAUUUUUAAUGUUGAGUUUAUGUGGAAGGAAAUAAAGGCAAAGCAACGCUUUUGCUUGUAGACUGCAGCAUGUUCAGUGCUCCCAUAUAUUACCAGGCUAAUUUCAAUGUGCAGGAAACUGGCUAUACAGUUUGGGACCAGAAUACCACCCAAAAUAUCAUUUCCUGCCCUACAUUCCAAACGGAUGCUGCAUUCUGCAGGCAAGGACAUCUUGCAGAUACCAUCCUGUCUGGCCUUCUGUGUGAUGGCACCUACCCUUUGGAGUUCCCUGGAUAGUGAUGGUGGGGCAGCUGUGGCCCUUUGCAUCUGUUGAAUGAGGAUGGCCAAUGGUUGGGGUUGUGGGCUCACCACACCUGGAGGGCCACCACCCCAGUAAUAUAAUGUCACAGGAAAAGGAGGUCCAAAGUCCAACUUGUACAGGAAACCCCUGUUUUAGGCAUGGCUGCUAUGUUCACAAUCGUGUACAUGAGGAGUGGUGGCUGGAUACUGAUGAGUGGGUACCGGGAAUGGGGGUUUGGAGUCUGACUUGGAAGAAGGGAUCUGUGAACUGGGAGAACCUGUGACAGCCAAGAGAUGAGUGAGAGGCAGGAGAAGCUGCAGGAUUGGAGGGAGAGAUGGGCCAGGCUGGUGGAGUUUCAUGGGCUCCUCCUCCUGCCACCGACUCUCCUGCUCCACUGUCUCCCAGGACCAGUAGAGGACUGAAGAGGGAGGAGCAAAAGGUUACAUGCAGGCACAGUCUUCACCUGCUUGCACGUAGGUCGGAUAGGUGUCAGGGACUGGACUGAACAGGAAGGCUGGGAACUGUCCCCUCUGUCUCCUCAUGGAGUGGGAAGACUCCCUUUGUCUCCAGCAGUUUCAAGAGGAGGAGGAGACAGGGUUGAAUUACAGCCAAGUGAAGAACUGCCAAGUUACGAGAUAGUGGUGGAGGAGGAGGGAGCGAGAGAGCAGCCAGCAGAGAUCUCCUUGGAGUGUCUGGGAGAGCCUCCUUCUCCAAGGGCUCGUCAAUCACUUUGCAUUCAAGAAGAGAGAAUGUGGAGGUGUGUGACUCCCAUAGGGACUCAGGAUGCUGUUGGGGAUGGAAGAGGAAGGACUCAAAGUAGGCAACAUCUCCAUUGCGUGGAGAUUUGGAGUCUUUGUCUUGCACCCAGAUGACUGAAUAAAACCCAUAAAUAUGAACUUGCUUGUUCUCCUUGCCUUUGAUCCUACCGGCGGAGGAGAGGAUUCUCUACGCCUGACAAUAGGGGAGACAGAUGAACUGAGGGUGGGGCUUCUCUGUUGUGGCAACUGCCUCAUUGGGUGCAUACCUAGGACUAGCUGAGACUCAUAGGACUGACAGGCAUGCAUUCCCCAAACAUGUAAGUAUAUUUUUUGAGUCUGACAAUAAGGAGUUCAUUCCUCACUCUGGACAUUCCGUGCCUGACACCCAGAGACCUUUAUUGAUAAAACAACUUGUACAGGCAACCCAUUUUAGGCGUGGCCAAUAUGUUCGCAAUUGUGUACAUGCACGCAGCGCCAAACCUGGAAGUGACUUGGAAACGUCAUAAAAAAGUCACUAAAAGGGUGGAGCAGGGGCAGAACGGGGCGUUUCAAUUGCAAGCGAUUUCACACAAGUGCUCAAUGACCCAGAAUGCGACCCACAUGCAAAUUGGGAGGCGCGGGUGGCGCUGUAGUCUAAACCACUGAGUCUCUUGGGCUUGCCGAUCAGAAGGUCGGUGGUUUGAAUCCCCGCAACGGAGUGAGCUCCCAUUGCUCUGUCCCAGCUCCUGCCAACCCAGCAGUUCAAAAGCAUGCCAGUGCAAGUAGAUAAAUAGGUACCAAUGCAGAGGGAAGGUAAACGGUGUUUCCAUGCGCUCUGGUUUCCAUCACAGUGUCCCAUUGCACCAGAAGCGGUUUAGUCAUGCUGGCCACAUGAUCCGGAAAGCUGUCUGUGGACAAACACUGUCUCCCUCAGCCUGAAAAGCGAGAUGAGUGCUGCAACCCAUAGUCGCCUUUGACUGGACUUAACCAUCCAGGGGUCCUUUACCUUUUACCUUUUUACCUGUACUGGCAACAAAAAUGGAAAGAGAGGGAUCCAGCUCAACGGGUCAGACGCAGAAGGCCUCAGGUUCAACCUUGGCAUCUCCAGUUCAAAAGAGGUGGCGAAUAUCAGGCCUGGACAAUAGCUCUUCCUAAGACUCUGGAGAGCUACUACUAGCUAGGGAAGCAUUACUGGUCUAGAGAUGAACCAAUGAUAGGACAGCAUAGGGUUGUUUUGUUAUCUUCGUAUCUCCCAUGGAGCAUAAUUUCAGCUCAUCCCAAAAAACUUAUUGAGCAACUGAAAGGGCGGGGAAGGAAUGGUCACAGGAUAUGGUGUGGUGAGCCUUACCCUAACCCCUGGUUUAUCAGCUGGGACUGGAGGGAAGAACUCCCACGUCUAGGUGUUAUCGCUUCGUGUUUGUGUGGACCAAGAUUCAGCAGGGCUAGGGUUUGUUUUUGUAGAUGUUAAGCUCAUCUGUCAGAAGUAGCUAAAACGUGCAGCUGCUUCAUUCAGGCCCCUGCCUCCAGCAAAUGAGAUCUCCCUGGGUUUGCAGGAGUCCUUGCUCGGUCCUUUUCGGUGUGAUGCCCCUUCCUUGUUGUGAGAGCGAAACACAGCCCCGGUAUUCUCUCAGGCAGCAAAACGCUGCCAGCAGUGAUAGCUGUAAACAUUCCCUCGAGUGUUUUGAUAUAAGGCUCAGAAAGGAAGUUAUUGUAUUAGAUUUCAGUUUGGGUGGGGUGUAGGGAGGGGAGUCCUGAUAAGAUUACGUUGGAGCUAUUCUCUAUUUGUCUAGCACACACGGUCCUUUCAAAUCUAUGGAGGAACGACCAGAUUGUCAAUUUGCAGAUAGCCAUGUCAGUUCAGAGCAGGGAGAAAUGAAACUGGAAAAGGGCUGGGUUUGUGGCCUUGUACCCAGUGCUUUUUACUGGGGGGACGCACGGGUACGCAUGCCCCUAAACAUUUUGUGAAUCUAAGUUUGGCCUCAUUGAGGGGAAGUAUUUCAAUAUGAGUAGGAAAAUGAGAGUACCCCUAAACAUUUUUUUUAAAAAAAGCACUGGGUUCACCUUUCCAGUUUUUCAGAUCCCCCAAGUUAACUUUUAUUUUUUGCUAAAAUUACUUAGAGCACGAUCUGUCCACAACAGCAUGGAGUGGAUUGUGGCCCAAGGUUUGUCAUGGGAAAGUCAGAUAGCAAUGGAGAGUAGACAUGGGGCAGGGGAGAGAGAUAUUCAUUUUGAUCCACAUUUGAAUGUGAACAUAUCUUGUCUGCAUUUCCUUAAACAAUGCACAAGCUGAAACAUGGGUAUUCUUUUUGAAAUUUGCCCUUCUUUGAAUUUUGUGAUGCAGUUCAGUGACAACCACAGCCACAACAAUAACAGCAGCAGCAGAAGCAGCAGCAACAACAA